AUCUCUGCCACAGGAGAGCAGAGAACAAAGAUUUAAAGAAUAUAUUAAUUAAUGAAGUGUCUGCCACAGGAGAACAGAUGUGACAUUGUUUGGGCCUUAGUGCCAAAUGUAAAGUGGGGACGCCCACACACUGAGAACUGUUUUCCAGAUGUACGCUUAUUGAUUUGGAAAGUCACACUGAUGCGGCCUAGCCGUACGACUUAAAGUCACACUGAUGCGGCCUGGCCGUACGACUUAUAAGCACACUGAUGCAUCUGGAAAACCAUAUCUGGGACUCGUGCCCGGGUAAUGUCGGGAGCGGGUAGGCAACCGACACAUGAGCUCAUGGCCUGCAUUAGG
This 339-nucleotide long non-coding RNA is filed under the name Arachis ipaensis. RNAcentral describes it as "long non-coding RNA (AIPA_LNC002622)". The record is from RNAcentral. Lineage: Eukaryota; Viridiplantae; Streptophyta; Magnoliopsida; Fabales; Fabaceae.